Molecule: ribosomal RNA, 473 nt
Filed under: uncultured bacterium
Lineage: Bacteria
Description: bacterial SSU rRNA
Rfam family: Bacterial small subunit ribosomal RNA
Source: RNAcentral
ACUCCUACGGGAGGCAGCAGUGGAGAAUAUUGCACAAUGGGCGCAAGCCUGAUGCAGCCAUGCCGCGUGUAUGAAGAAGGCCUUCGGGUUGUAAAGUACUUUCAGCAGUGAGGAAGGUGGGUAUGUUAAUAGCAUACUCAUUUGACGUUAGCUGCAGAAGAAGCACCGGCUAACUCCGUGCCAGCAGCCGCGGUAAUACGGAGGGUGCGAGCGUUAAUCGGAAUUACUGGGCGUAAAGCGCAUGCAGGUGGUUUGUUAAGUCAGAUGUGAAAGCCCGGGGCUCAACCUCGGAAUUGCAUUUGAAACUGGCAAACUAGAGUACUGUAGAGGGGGGUAGAAUUUCAGGUGUAGCGGUGAAAUGCGUAGAGAUCUGAAGGAAUACCGGUGGCGAAGGCGGCCCCCUGGACAGAUACUGACACUCAGAUGCGAAAGCGUGGGGAGCAAACAGGAUUAGAUACCCCGGUAGGCUCUGC